Molecule: ribosomal RNA, 176 nt
Filed under: uncultured bacterium
Lineage: Bacteria
Description: partial 16S ribosomal RNA
Rfam family: Bacterial small subunit ribosomal RNA
Source: RNAcentral
ACUCCUACGGGAGGCAGCGGUGGGGAAUUUUCCGCAAUGGGCGAAAGCCUGACGGAGCAACGCCGCGUGAGGGAUGAAGGCCUCUGGGCUGUAAACCUCUUUUCUCAAGGAAGAAGAUCUGACGGUACUUGAGGAAUAAGCCACGGCUAAUUCCGUGCCAGCAGCCGCGGUAAUAC